This 373-nucleotide ribosomal RNA is filed under the name uncultured bacterium. Its description in RNAcentral is "bacterial SSU rRNA". It matches the Rfam family "Bacterial small subunit ribosomal RNA", at positions 521 to 896 of the family's 1533-position model. The record is from RNAcentral.
UAACACGGGGAGGGCGAGCGUUGUUCGGAUUUACUGGGCGUAAAGGGCGUGUAGGUGUCCUUGUAAGUCGAGUGUGAAAGCCCCCCGCUCAACGGGGGAACUGCACUUGAUACUGUAGGGAUAGAGUUUAGGAGAGGAGAGCGGAAUUCUCGGUGUAGCGGUGAUAUGCGUAGAUAUCGAGAAGAACACCUGUGGCGUAGGCGGCUCUCUAGCCUAUAACUGACACUGAGACGCGAAAGCUAGGGUAGCGAACGGGAUUAGAUACCCCGGUAGUCCUAGCCGUAAACGAUGUGCACUUGGUGUUCGUCCGCGAGGAGGAGUGCCGGAGCUAACGCGUUAAGUGCACCGCCUGGGGAGUACGGUCGCAAGGCUG